AUUGAACGCUGGCGGAAUGCUUUACACAUGCAAGUCGAACGGCAGCACGGACUUCGGUCUGGUGGCGAGUGGCGAACGGGUGAGUAAUGUAUCGGAACGUGCCCAGUCGUGGGGGAUAACGUAGUGAAAAUUACGCUAAUACCGCAUACGAUCUAUGGAUGAAAGCGGGGGAUCGCAAGACCUCGCGCGAUUGGAGCGGCCGAUAUCAGAUUAGGUAGUUGGUGGGAUAAAGUCCCACCAAGCCAACGAUCUGUAUCUGGUCGGACAGGAAGACCAGCCACACUCGAACUGAGACACGGUCCAGACUCCUACGGGAGGCAGCAGUGGGGAAUUUUGGACAAUGGGCGAAAGCCUGAUCCAGCCAUUCCGCGUGCAGGAUGAAGGCCCUCGGGUUGUAAACUGCUUUUGUACAGAACGAAAAGGUUUCUACUAAUACUAGGAGCUCAUGACGGUACUGUAAGAAUAAGCACCGGCUAACUACGUGCCAGCCGCCGCCGUAA
RNAcentral lists this ribosomal RNA (500 nucleotides) under uncultured bacterium. Its description in RNAcentral is "partial 16S ribosomal RNA". It matches the Rfam family "Bacterial small subunit ribosomal RNA", at positions 30 to 523 of the family's 1533-position model. The record is from RNAcentral.